Molecule: long non-coding RNA, 1047 nt
Filed under: Pan troglodytes (chimpanzee)
Lineage: Eukaryota; Metazoa; Chordata; Mammalia; Primates; Hominidae
Description: lincRNA
Source: RNAcentral
UAGGCCAGGCACUACUCUGUCCCAACAAUAAGCCCUGUACAUUGGGAAAGGUGCCGAGACAUGAACUUUGGUCUUCUCUGCAAUCCAUCUGGAGCAUUCAGUGACAACAUCGACUUUGAAGUUGCACUGACCUGGCCAGCCCUGCCACUUACCAGGUUGGGCUGUGGCUUGCCUUUUCACUUCUUGUGUCCUGUUUAAGAAAUAUCUACUAUCCCAAGAUUGAGCCUCAUAUUUCAUAUCUGCCCCUGGCCUAAUGGUUGUUUACAGAAAGAGCUCAAUGAAUAUUGUUAAAUAACACUAACAAAGUUGACCUUAGAAUUGGAGUGCCUGGGUUAGAACCCUGCUGGUACCACCUGCUUACUGCAUGCUUCUGAUGUGAGUUCAGGAGAAGACACUGGCAAGGACAGCAAAGAACAGGAGAACACUCUAGCUUCCCUGAUAGCAUUCAAGGUGCUGUCCAAAGCUCUUGAGUUUCUGCUUUCAAGUGACCCUCAGAAAUUCCCCCAUUCACUGCAGAGGUUCUGUUUCUCCUUGCUUUGUUCUGACUUUACGGCAGAACUAAGCUGAUGAGUUAGUUACUAUGGGUUAUCACUUGGAUUUGAAGAACCAUCAUUUCUAGGCAUUGCUGCUCAGAGUGGGUCUGCCCUCAGGGGAAGCUGUCUAACCAGAGCCUAACCCACUAGGGUUUUAUCAGAACCUAACUGACCUGAGGAAAAGAAAUAUUCAACUCCAGCAAGCUCCAGCCUUCCAAAUGGAGGAGAAGAAAACCCAACUCCAGCCCACUUCAGCUAUCUUGUCCCACAUAAAGGGGAAGUGGAAGAAACCUGAGAAGCAGGCAUGAAGUUCACAGUCCAGAGGUACAGACACAUCAGAGUUCAGUAUCUGAUGAAUUAGAUGCAAAAACCUCAACAAAGUAUUAGCAAAUUGAAUUCAACAAUGUAUGAAAAUUAUUACAUGCCAUGACUAAUUGGAAUUUAUCUCAGGUAUACAAGCCAUGCUGAACAUCUGAAAAUCAAUUCAUGUGAUCCAUCACAUUAGCAGACUCAA